This 1100-nucleotide long non-coding RNA is filed under the name Scleropages formosus (Asian bonytongue). Its description in RNAcentral is "lncRNA (ENSSFOG00015029775.1)". The record is from RNAcentral. Lineage: Eukaryota; Metazoa; Chordata; Actinopteri; Osteoglossiformes; Osteoglossidae.
GCAAAUAUUUUAAACAAACAGGCGCCGUGUAAAUAAACGGGUGAUGCGUCAGUCCGCGCGGCCCAACAGGCGCAUAGUUAAGGGUCUGUAUUCGUCUACCUGGGACGAGGACCCUCAUUAAGGCAUGCCGCAGAUAGGAUUACGCAGCGAUUCUCCCGUUCGGGGGGCCUGACAUAACGCAAACAAACAAUUUUACAACGUCCAGAAGCUUCCAGGAAGAAAGAGGCACAGGGAGGCACACAUCUGUGAGCUAUUAGGAGUUCAGGAGUUGCAUUCGACCAGAGAAGAGUAUAUGCGGAGGGUGUGUGUGCAGGCGGGAGCGGGGUGUGCGUCCAGGCCACCCCACCAAGGUGUCACUGUACCUGGGGACAUGAGUGAACCUCAGCAACAAGAGGCUGGAGUAAUGUAUCUGUGGAGGAAUUUGCAUACCACAGAAGGUCACACUGCGUGCCGGAACGCACCAAGAGUGGAAUAAAGUUCAUCACGUUACAGUUUAUCUUUCUCCUCUUACCGCAGUACGACACCUCUGCUUUCAGAUCAUAUUCUAUUGCUAGUUUUCUUUCCACGGCCAUGGGCGCGAAUACUAUAGUAAAAACACUGUGAAUGCUGCUCUUACUCUCAGCAAUGUUCCCUUGCUGUGCUUUCUAUUUAUUAUUCUUAACACUAGUAUUACUGGGCAUUUAAUUAUAUGUCCAUAUACAGUAUAUUAAUGAAUGAGAGUAGGGAGGGUGGCACAAAUUCCCUUUCACUAUUAAUACAGAGUUUUAGAAGUUGCAUAUUGAAGAAGCUGUAAAAUGCGUGUUUAAGAUUUUUUGGACGUUUUGUGUGUUCCAUAUUUCUGCAAACGCGGUCUGCUUUUGAAACUAAAUGACGCAAACAAGGGAUUGGAGCCCAAAUCCAUGUGAACUUUUGCCAAAUAAUGUUUCUAAAACAAUUAAGAUUAAACAAAUGUCUAUCAUAAACUCUAUGGGGGAAAGCAUCGUAGGCUCUCAUAUACGUGUGAAUGCAUGACAUGUUGAUAUGAAAUAAUAUGUAAAAAUUAAUAGAAAUCUUUGGAGACAAAGUCGACUUGCGCGCUUUAUUUUAUCUUUAUCAUGUAC